Long non-coding RNA from Lingula anatina, 771 nucleotides. RefSeq lists it as uncharacterized. The record is from RefSeq and is a predicted model, not a curated record. Lineage: Eukaryota; Metazoa; Brachiopoda; Lingulata; Lingulida; Lingulidae.
UAGCCAAAUAAUUUGAUAUCAAACUUAUUGGUUGAUUAGAUAUUAUUAGUUUUGCCAUUAUGAUGGUAGAAAGCCUAAAUUACCAUCCCGGAAUUAAGACCCCUUGUGCCAUUUCAAAUGACAAAAGCAAGUUUAAAUCGAAACUUGCGUUCAAAUAGCGGGUGCCCUGUACAUUAUUAUGCAAUACAGGUGAGCAUUUCGGUGAGAGGUGUUCAGGUAGGACCAAGGUCAGUAGAAGAUGGAGAAGACAGAGGUUCUUGAGAGGGAACGCACUUUCCAAUGAGGAAGUGAGAGGCUUAUUGCAGCUGUCCAAAGGUCUGAACAAGUCUUCAACAAGUAAGACGACUGGGCAGUGGCCCCCAACUGCUGUUUACCGGGUGAUUGGAUGCGUCGCUGAUCAAAGACAUCAGAUUCAUGUUGGACAUCGCCUGCGCCCAUGCCAAGAUUGUCUCGCUUGUUGAAGUUUGUCUUGUAGUUUAUUUACAGGGUUGACAUUUGUUAUGAAAUGUAAUCUUUGCCUUGGAUAGUAAUAUUCUGCAUAAAAUGUGUAUAAAAAUAAUUGUUGUACGCAGCAAGAAUUUUUAACGAAACUUCUGAUCAGAGAAAAAGAAAGAAAUGAAUGGCGUCGACCCUGCAUGUCGCUGAUUAUACAUUAUAGAUUUGUUUCUAAAUCGUGGUACAGUACUCUAUUCGCUCACAUCGUUUCAAGGCAUUUUAUUUAUUAUGUAUAUUUAUUAUUGUGUCGGAAGGAAGUACCCAUCAAUUCUAAAA